Molecule: ribosomal RNA, 116 nt
Filed under: Actinomycetota bacterium
Lineage: Bacteria; Bacillati; Actinomycetota
Source: RNAcentral
AGGCGUGUGUUGAGCGCGCCGGAACCACGCCGUACCAUCCCGAACCGGGCCGUGAAACGGCGCAGCGCCACUGGUACUGGCGGGAUACCCGCUGGGAGAGCAGGUCCAUGCGCCCC